CCUACGGGGAGCAGCAGUGAGGAAUAUUGGUCAAUGGGAGAGAUCCUGAACCAGCCAAGCCGCGUGAGGGAAGACGGCCCUAUGGGUUGUAAACCUCUUUUGUCGGAGAACAAAACCCGGGACGUGUCCCGGACUGCGUGUAUCCGAAGACAAAGCAUCGGCUAACUCCGUGCCAGCAGCCGCGGUAAUACGGAGGAUGCGAGCGUUAUCGGGAUUUAUUGGGUUAAAAGGGUGCGUAGGCGGUCCGUUAAGUCAGCGGGAAAAUUGCGGGGCUCAACCCCGUCGAGCCGUUGAAACUGGGAGACUUGAGUGGGGGAGAAGUACGCGGAAUGCGCGGUGUAGCGGUGAAAUGCAUAGAUAUCGCGCAGAACUCCGGUUGCGAAGGCAGCGUACCGGCGCCAGACUGACGCUGAGGCACGAAAGCGUGGGGAUCGAACAGGAUUAGAUACCCCUGUAGUC
This 459-nucleotide ribosomal RNA is filed under the name uncultured bacterium. RNAcentral describes it as "partial 16S ribosomal RNA". It matches the Rfam family "Bacterial small subunit ribosomal RNA", at positions 338 to 795 of the family's 1533-position model. The record is from RNAcentral.